AUUGAACGCUGGCGGCAGGCCUAACACAUGCAAGUCGAGCGAGCGGCGGACGGGUGAGUAAUGUCGGGGAAACUGCCUGAUGGAGGGGGAUAACUACUGGAAACGGUAGCUAAUACCGCAUCCCAUCAGAUGUGCCCAGCUGUGAAUGGCGAGUAGGUGGGGUAACGGCUCACCUAGGCGACGAUCCCUAGCUGGUCUGAGAGGAUGACCAGCCACACGUGGACUGAGACACGGUCCAGACUCCUACGGGAGGCAGCAGUGGGGAAGAUGGGACAAUGGGCGCAAGCCUGAUGCAGCCAUGCCGCGUGUGUGAAGAGGGCCUUCGGGUUGUAAAGCACUUUCAGCGGGGAGGCGUUACCCGCAGAAGAAGCACCGGCUAACUCCGUGCCAGCCGCCGCGGUAAUAC
This 406-nucleotide ribosomal RNA is filed under the name uncultured bacterium. RNAcentral describes it as "partial 16S ribosomal RNA". It matches the Rfam family "Bacterial small subunit ribosomal RNA", at positions 29 to 526 of the family's 1533-position model. The record is from RNAcentral.